UGAGCUUUGAGGAUGAAACCUGUUUGAGGUAGGAUUAUUUAAAAAAAAAAAAAAAACCUGUUUGAGGUAUGAGGAUGAAAGCUGUUUGAGGUAUGAUUAUAAUAAAACCUGUUUGAGGUAUGAGGAUAAUAAAACCUGUUUGAGGUAUGAGGAUAAUGAAACCUGUUUGAGGUAUGAGGAUAAUAAAACCUGAUUGAGGUAUGAGGAUGAAACCUGUUCGAGGUAUGAUUAUAAUAAAACCUGUCUGAGGUAUGAUUAUAAUAAAACCUGUUUGAGGUAUGAUUAUAAUAAAACCUGUUUGAGGUAUGAGGAGGAUGAAACCUCCUUGAGCUUUGAGGAUGAAACCUGUUUGAGGUAUGAGGAUAAUAAAACCUGUUUGAGGUAUGAGGAUGAAACCUGUUCGAGGUAUGAUUAUAAUAAAACCUGUCUGAGGUAUGAUUAUAAAAAAAAAACCUAUUUGAGGUUUAAGGAUAAAACGUGUAUGCCCAUUAAUAUUUGAGCAGAAAACCUGUUUAAGG
Long non-coding RNA from Ictalurus punctatus (channel catfish), 518 nucleotides. The record is from Ensembl. NCBI's taxonomy places the organism in Eukaryota, Metazoa, Chordata, Actinopteri, Siluriformes, Ictaluridae.